AGGAUGAACGCUGGCGGUCUGCUUAACACAUGCAAGUCGAACGGGCGUAGCAAUACGUUAGUGGCGGACGGGUGAGUAACGCGUGAGAAUCUACCUUCAGGACGGAGACAACAGUUGGAAACGACUGCUAACCCCCGAUGUACCGAAAGGGCAAAUAUUUAUAGCCUGAAGAAGAGCUCGCGUCCGAUUAGCUAGUUGGAGAGGUAAAAGCUCACCAAGGCGACGAUCGGUAGCUGGUCUGAGAGGACGAUCAGCCACACUGGGACUGAGACACGGCCCAGACUCCUACGGGAGGCAGCAGUGGGAAUUUUCCGCAAUGGGCGAAAGCCUGACGGAGCAAGACCGCGUGGGGGAAGAAGGCUCUUGGGUUGUAAGCCCCUUUUCUCUGGGAAGAACGCAAUGACGGUACCAGAGGAAUCAGCAUCGGCUAACUCCGUGCCAGCAGCCGC
RNAcentral lists this ribosomal RNA (449 nucleotides) under uncultured bacterium. Its description in RNAcentral is "SSU rRNA". It matches the Rfam family "Bacterial small subunit ribosomal RNA", at positions 26 to 518 of the family's 1533-position model. The record is from RNAcentral.